Molecule: transfer RNA, 93 nt
Filed under: Acetobacteraceae bacterium
Lineage: Bacteria; Pseudomonadati; Pseudomonadota; Alphaproteobacteria; Acetobacterales; Acetobacteraceae
Also listed under: 3 other names
Description: tRNA-Sec
Rfam family: Selenocysteine transfer RNA
Source: RNAcentral
GGAAGAGAAACGCCCCCGGUGGGGCGGCCGGACUUCAAAUCCGGAAGGGGCCGUAAGCCGGCCCUUGGUGGGUUCGACCCCCACUCUCUUCCG